UUUACCUACUCUUUUCAACGUUCUUAUCGCGAUUAUCUAUGCUCUUUGUGGAAAAACUUUAUAGUAAUUUUUUUUUCUGUUUUGGUUAUCUCUUUCGCACUUCUCUGGCACUGUUAGGUUUUACUGUUUCAUCUGUUACGUCUUUUGGUUUUCUCACUAUAUGCUAUUUUAGAAUUUCUUUCCCAUCACAGGUUCUAUUUGACUAUAAGUGCAUACUUUGGGUAAAAUUAUUCGCCGAUGGUUUCUGUUUUUUCAUAUACUGCACAUCGUCAGAAUUAAAUUUUGCGACAUGAGUUGACUUGCAAUUUUGGAGCUGGCUGCAUAGGUUCGAAUUAUUUAUGAAUAAUACAAGAACUUUGGGCUGAGGAUUAUUUUUCAAGAACAAAAAAAGAAACUAAAGCUCAUUUCUGUUAAAGCUUUAGGCGUUGGGGAAAUAAUUUUUAAACUUCUACAUACUGAUGGUUAAAUGAUAUUAAAUGGACCAUGAAGUUAGUUUUGGUUCUGUUAGAAUUUUUUUUUGUUGGUAAAAUUCAUAGGUGUAUAGUGAUUGUUUUGUGAAGGGCAAUUUUCUCUUACAGCUAUGAGAUUUCAUGCUGGAUUUUUACCAACGUAUGUUUGUCUCUUUAAUCAAGUAAUUUGUUUUUACUCUGCACUCUUUUAAGAUUCGGUUGGUCAAUAUAAUUUUAAAUAUCCUGAAAUAUUAUAUGUUGGUAUACACCACACAGGCUGCUAACAGACUGUGCAACAAGGUUUCUUCUUUUCAUAUAUCCAUUGCUUUGGAGAUGCUUCGAAAAAAGUUGCUUGGCGAGAAAUAAUUAUGGUCUAUUAUUUCCUUUUUGAAUUUUAUUAUAACCUCUUACCUUAAAUGUUUAACGCAUAAUGUGAAUUUCUUCUCUGAUUUCAUGAGUAAACCUCUAUUUAUACUCAUGUUAUAUAUAGUAUUUAGCAUCUAAAGAUCUCUUUAUGCUUACUGCUAUAUCUUCCAAUUCACGUAUAAAUUCAUCACUUUUAGUAAUAUGUACCAUCCUACGGCUACAAAAUACUACUUAAAGUUAAGGAGCUAUGAUCUUUGUGUGAUCAUAUCAAUCUUCUCAUUUUAGCUAUUACAAAUACAUAUUCUGAUGAUUUAUAUAGGUUUCAUCUGAGAGAAAAUUAUUGUGCGACGCAGCAGAGGAAGUUGUCUCCAUUUCCUUCAUUUAGGAGAAAUUGAUGAGUCUAUCUGCUAAUUUGUGGUGUUGGACCUAACUGCACUGAUUAGGGGAGAAGCUAGCUAAUGGUUUUCUUAUAUUUCUAUUGUUUUUACCGAGGGUGAGGAGACGAGUGAGGUGUUUGGUAGUCCUCAUAGGUUUGGGCCUUCUGGCAUCAGAUCCAUUCGGAGGAUUAGUGGAGCUCUAUCUAUUUUUGGUGAAGCUCCUCAUUGGUUUUCGAUUUAGGGGGAGAGAAUUUUGUUGGUUCUCUAAUGAAAUGCGAGUGUUGAUGUUUAUGCGUUGGGCUGUGUAAGAUUGUGAUUGUAGUGUAGUGCAUGUAUUUUUUUUCCUACAUUCUUUUAGAGUUUUCCUUUUUCGUUUCUUCUAAAUGUAUAUGGUGUGAGUUUUCUGUUUAUAGGGUUAGUUUGUGCAAUCUUUGUAUGUUUGUUGCACUUUAUUCAUUUUUAUGUGCAUAUGUUAGUUCCUUAUAGCUAUUGAAUUAUGUCUUGCUACAGCUUUAACAUGCAUGUUAGUGCUGUUCCUAAAUUAUACAUGCAUUAUGCCUUUGUUGCCAACAACUCCAAUUAGAAGUGAACAAUGCACCCGAGUUAUUUGAUGAAUAUCAGCAAGAGGUGAAUCUGAACUUCUAUAUUCUGUUGAUUUUGGAUGAAUCAAGUCUUCAUGAUUUGAAUUUCCCAAAAGGAGGGCUCAAGAGUAUCAUUUUGUCAUUUGUAAAAUUGUUAUACCUGACAUCCACAUCACAGACUCACACUUAAAGCAUAUUGGAGUGCACAUAAGUUGCAAUUUUGAAUAAGCUUUGAAUGAACUUAUAACUAUUUUACCAGAUUUAUAUUUAAGUUACUGAUAUUCCUCUGGUGACACCACGAAGAUGCUCAAUUUUAUCCCUACUUCAAGGCAGUUGAAUUGAUUUUAACAAGGUCUUAAACUAAGGUAUGACUGCACCAGCCACCACUCAGUUAGACAUAUGUACAAGUUUAGUCUAAACAGAGCUUCUUUCAGAUUUUGUUGUUAGAGAAAGGACUACUUAAAGUUCCUGCUUGCUCUUAACAUAGUUGCAAAAUUAUCCUAAUGGGAAGUACCAAGCACAUCUAAAAGGUUGCAAGUAAGUUAGAUGAAAUAAAAAUAUGUAAAGAGUACCUCUUUUUACUUAUUUGAGAUGAAAAUUUUGGUUGAAUCCAGAAGCAUCUUCAUUACACAGUUAAAAACUAAUUUCUGAUUUCAAUUAGGAUCAAUUACUUUGAGGAUAGUCGGUACAUAAGAGGCAGUUGACAAAACAAGUGAAGUGUCCUGGCAGCAGCAGUUGUGGUGAUGUUUGCUUUGCACUGAAAAUAUCAACAAGAUGUCGGCAAGAUGUGAUACUUGGGAUUAUGAUACUAAAAAAAUGCUUUAGGUUUUGAUGUAGAGGAUGAGCAUAUUGAUUAUGAGGAAUAUGUAACAACGAUGAGAAGGGGAAUAUAGGAUUGAUAACUGGAGCAAUAAUUAAAAGAGAACCUAAUUAAAUUAGGGAUGACCAAGUCUACACUGCUCUUUAAAUUGUUGGGUUCAAUAUAGGGUUUUGAUGAGCCUACCACUUGAGUCAUAGCCAGAAGAAAUAGACUUUGUGCAACAACAGUUGAUGCCUGCAAAGAGAAUUCUUGAAGCAAAAAUUCCUUGUUGUCAAUAGUUAGCCAAUAAAUAAAUUUAAGGCAAAACUCUGUAAAUAGCUAACGUGAGUUGUGCUUAAACUUAUGAAAGUGGCUACUCCCUUGCUAGAUUAACCUUUUACUUAUAUGAAUCUAUGUUUUUUUAUAUUGAAAUUAAAUCGUAACAAGUUGGUUUA
Nicotiana attenuata is the source of this 3027-nucleotide long non-coding RNA. RefSeq lists it as uncharacterized. The record is from RefSeq and is a predicted model, not a curated record. The transcript has 4 exons. Lineage: Eukaryota; Viridiplantae; Streptophyta; Magnoliopsida; Solanales; Solanaceae.